UAACAGCAUUAAGAGCAUUUGUGUGACCAGAAAAGAAAUUCCCUCAAGCGUUGAGGUGAAUGCAAGAAAACCGCUAUGGCGAAAAGCGCACCCAAAGCAAAAUUCAUCAAGUCACCGUCACUGUCGCCGUCACCACUGCUGUGGCCGCUUACCAGUCGCAUUCAAAGUGAAAUUGAAGUAAACGGUGCACAAACACAACCAAUGAAAAGCAAGAAUGCCACUCACCGCCGGGGAAGCGUUGAAAAAGUGAAUAUGCAAACAUAAAAUUUUUUAAAUGUAAUGAACUAAAAUUCAAUAGAGCAUCGUAAAAAGCAGCUUACGCUUGGCAAAACAGUUUAAAUGCAGUUAUUUUUUAGCAGAAAAUUAUUCCAACUUAUUAGCAACGUGUGCGCUGUUGACGGCAUAUCCAAAUAGUCGAUGAUGACGCUGCCGACAAUGACGACGGUGACAACUACGGCCGAUGACGACAGUACAACAGCAACACCGACAGCAAAUCGCGCAAUAGCAUCGCUUCGCUUGGCCCCAAUAAACGUGUCUCAUAUUGCAAAUUCAAUAUACUAUAGGCAAAAAGAGCAACAACAAACAUGCAAUGCAAACUGCGUCGAACAGAAAAAUAAAAGGAAAUUAUACAAAUGAAAUGCAGGGAUGUGUGAGCAUUGAAGAAUAAAUAAAAAUGAAAUGUAUAUAAAUUGGAUUCCAAAUUUAGUACAUAUUUACAUGCUUGGAAAACUUAAUUUACCUUGAAUAGCAUUUACUUGGAUCGACAAAAAUUAUUAAAUUUAAUUAAGACUAUAAUCAAUCAUUUGUAUCAAAAAUAAUAUUUUCACAGAAUAAAAAGUGUUCUUCAAAGACAUUUAAAAAAUAAAAUAAAAUAAACUUUAAAUAUAUGUGUCACCCUAUGAUACCCCCUUAAAUUUAAUUAAGACUUAUGCCCAUAAUCAAUCAUUUGUAUCAAAAAGAAUAUUUUCACAGAAUACAAAAUAUUUGAAGAACCGAGUUUAUUAUUAAAAAAAAAAUUAACUUUAAAUAUAUGUGUCACCCUAUGCGCAUGCAGUCUGGCUAAAAAGUGUCACUCUUUGCGUAUGUAAUCGACUAUUUAUAGGCCACAUUACCAUACAUACAACUUACAUUGUAAGCAAAGAUUGGUGCCAUCGAAUCGCCUUCAUCGAACCAAGUAAAUUUAAAUAUAAACGUUUAUUUUCGACACACCACUCCCUUGAGAGCAAUUUUCAAAUAUUCAUAUUGCCUACGUCAUCGUCAAUGCGAGCCACCACACCAAAUAUUGUACAUUCAAAAUAUUUUUAGCACCAAAACGAAAAGCCGACAAAACAUUUGGACUGUUGCACCAAGUAAUGAAAAAUAACAUUUUAAUAUGAUAAAAACCGCAACAACAGAAGUAAUACGUGAUUAUCUGAACUUACAAAUGUUAUAAAUAGAACACAACGACAGGCUAAGAUCAGAGGCUUAACAGAGGCGUAAAACGAAUUGAGUCUGAAUAAAGUAGUAAAAUUGAAUUAUUUCUGGCACUUUGGGAGAACAGCUGUUUGACCGUGAUGUGACCGGAAGAAAUAUCCCCAAGUGUGAAAAUUAAAAAGUUGGAGAAAACAAAAAACCUAUGUAAGCGUGUGUGCAUGAAUAUAAACAAGUUCCGGCAGUUUGGGUGUGUGGGCGCAGCAUUCAACAGCAGCAAAAAUUUCGACAAUUUCGUAGAAACCGAAAUCUUUCUGCACUUUUUAUUUCUCACCUCCAUGUGUUUCUCUGAGCUAUCAAACACUAAGGAAAUAAUCUCGUGUUGUGCUAAAAAUAACCAACCUACAGCCAACUUUCCAUGCGAAUUUACAUCAUAUAUGCUGAAAGUUGGCCAAACACUGUCGACCAAGCGCACGCAACACGGGAAACAUGCGGCAAGCAGCAAACAACACAACAUACCGACAAAUCUAUACCUAUAGCACAUAGCCAGUUAACAGCUACGAGCAAAUUCCUCAUAUCCGGCUUCGAAUGAGGCCCAGUUAGUGUGUGCUAAAUUGUUGCAUGCGAUCGACCAAUGUUGAAGAAUUGAAGGCUUCUUGCAAUCAAGUGAAGAGCAACAACACAGCCGAACACAUAAAUAUACUUAUAUCUACAAAAAGAUACACAUACAGAUAUACAAUUUGAAAGCAACGUGAAUAAAUGAAAGGCGAAUGUAUAUAUGUAUAUUCAUACAUACACACAUAUAUUAGUGGUGUUUACAUGUGCGUAGUCCCAUUGGAAACAGAUAAACGAAGAAAUGCCACUAUUUGGAAUUAACUGGUAAGACAGAGGCAAUAGUAAAACCAGAAGUAAUAAGCGUGACAGAAGCAACAGAAAAACUGAAGAGAUGAGCAAAAAAUGUUGCUAAUGAGUUUUGCCUGCAACAGUUAUUGUGACGUUGCUUCUUGCAUGCAGUGAAUUGUUGUUAAUGUUCAGACCGCAUGGUAUGCGCAGCAGCCAAGCGGAAUCACAGAAUGGAAUGAGGAAGAAACUCUCUCUUCCGAAAUAAGUAGAUAUUAAUAAAAAAAAA
Molecule: non-coding RNA, 2539 nt
Organism: Bactrocera oleae (olive fruit fly)
Lineage: Eukaryota; Metazoa; Arthropoda; Insecta; Diptera; Tephritidae
Source: RefSeq, a predicted model, not a curated record